This 74-nucleotide transfer RNA is filed under the name Candidatus Woesearchaeota archaeon. RNAcentral's name for it is "tRNA-Thr". It matches the Rfam family "tRNA". From Rfam's summary of the family: Transfer RNA (tRNA) molecules are approximately 80 nucleotides in length. Lineage: Archaea; Nanobdellati; Candidatus Woesearchaeota. The record is from RNAcentral.
GCCUCAAUAGCUCAGCCUGGUAGAGCAACUGCCUUGUAAGCAGUAGGCCGGGAGUUCAAAUCUCCUUUGAGGCU